UCUCCUAUAAAAGCGCCCUGCACCAUCAGCUAGUCCUCACUCCUCUGCUGCUCACAAGUUGUGCUGAGUGGAUACUAAAAUGAAAGCCGCCAUCUCACGGUUCAUGAUGAUAACCCCUCCAUGGGUUGAAUUCCACCAGAGGGCACCAUGGGCCCCUGAGACUGAAGAGACACAAGUCGGCUAGUGUAGCUACCAAAGGUGUGCCAAGUUGGUGUCAGCUGCACAACAUCUAGAAAAGAUGAUGCAGAUUCACAUUGCUGGAGACCCAGUUCUUGUAAUUGGAGGAUCAGUUAAAGGGGUGUGUCCAACAUCACUCAAUGCCACAUGAGGAUAUGUAAAACCUAGCUGUUGGAAGAUUCUCAUUGCAAUGUGUUGAGUCUGCAAAUUCCCUUAAUGGGAUUGUGAUGGUCAUGCACAGGAUGUCUCAAAGGCAUGGUUCUAUGUGUUCACUUUGGAGGCCCUGUUGAAGGAGACUGACAAAAGGAAAAAGCUUCACCCCUCACUAAUAUAGGAAUGAUGCUGUCAAGUCCAAUUGCCCAGAGUGGCAAGCCCUACACCUCACUCUGAAAUGCUGUAAGGUGUUGGCUGUGGAAAACCUGCAAUGUCAAGACUAUGCCAUUUGAUGUAGAACAUGAAUAAAAAAAUAAAAAACUAAAGAACA
Molecule: non-coding RNA, 661 nt
Organism: Labrus bergylta (ballan wrasse)
Lineage: Eukaryota; Metazoa; Chordata; Actinopteri; Labriformes; Labridae
Source: RefSeq, a predicted model, not a curated record